This 231-nucleotide ribosomal RNA is filed under the name uncultured bacterium. Its description in RNAcentral is "partial 16S ribosomal RNA". It matches the Rfam family "Bacterial small subunit ribosomal RNA", at positions 103 to 334 of the family's 1533-position model. The record is from RNAcentral.
CGGGUGCGUAACACGUGAACAACCUGCCCUCGUGUGGGGGAUAGCCAUGCUAACGCGUGGGUAAUACCGCAUACGUUCUCUGAAGGGAGUCCUUUGGAGAGGAAAGCUCCGGCGCACGGGGAGGGGUUCGCGGCCUAUCAGCUAGUUGGCGAGGUAACGGCUCACCAAGGCGACGACGGGUAGCUGGUCUGAGAGGAUGGCCAGCCACAUUGGGACUGAGAGACGGCCCAG